AAAGGGUGCGUAGGCGGAUUCUUAAGUCAGGGGUGAAAUCCCGAGGCUCAACCUCGGAACUGCCUUUGAUACUGGGGAUCUUGAGUCCGGAAGAGGUGAGUGGAACUGCGAGUGUAGAGGUGAAAUUCGUAGAUAUUCGCAAGAACACCGGUGGCGAAGGCGGCUCACUGGUCCGGAACUGACGCUGAGGCACGACAGCGUGGGGAGCAAACAGGAUUAGAUACCCUAGU
RNAcentral lists this ribosomal RNA (230 nucleotides) under uncultured bacterium. RNAcentral's name for it is "partial 16S ribosomal RNA". It matches the Rfam family "Bacterial small subunit ribosomal RNA", at positions 562 to 791 of the family's 1533-position model. The record is from RNAcentral.